Molecule: ribosomal RNA, 789 nt
Filed under: uncultured archaeon
Lineage: Archaea
Description: bacterial SSU rRNA
Rfam family: Archaeal small subunit ribosomal RNA
Source: RNAcentral
ACGGCUCAGUAACACGUGGAUAACCUGCCCUAUGCUCUGGGAUAACCUCGGGAAACUGAGAAUAAUACCGGAUAGAUCACAACGCCUGGAACGGUGUGUGGUUGAAAGGUUACGGCAUAGGAUGGGUCUGCGGCGUAUCAGGUUGUAGGGGGUGUAAUGGACCCCCUAGCCAUCGACGCGUACGGGUGUUGGGAGACAUAGCCCGGAGACGGAUUCUGAGACACGAAUCCGGACCCUACGGGGUGCAGCAGGCGCGAAAACUUCACACUGCAGGAAACUGUGAUGAGGGAACUCCAAGUGGAUGCACAUAGUGUAUCUCUUUUCUUUACUAUUAAUCGGUAUUGGAAUAAGGGCUGGGAAAGACCGGUGCCAGCCGCCGCGGUAAUACCGGCAGCUCGAGUGGUCGUCGCUUUUAUUGGCCUAAAACGUCCGUAGCCGGUUUGGUAAAUCUGUGGGUAAAUCAACUAGCUUAACUAGUUGAAUUCUGCAGAGACUGCCAGACUAGGAACCGGGAGAGGUGUGGGGUACUCAAGGGGUAGGGGUAAAAUCCUGUCAUCCUUUGAGGACCACCAGUUGCGAAGGCGCCACACUAGAACGGAUUCGACGGUCAGGAACGAAGCCUAGGGGCACGAACCGGAUUAGAUACCCGGGUAGUCCUAGGUGUAAACGCUGUGAACUUGGUGUCGGGAGUCCGCAAUGGGCCCCCGGUGCCGGAGUGAAGAUGUUAAGUUCACUGCCUGGGGAGUACGGUCGCAAGGCUGAAACUUAAAGGAAUUGGCGGGGGAGCAC